UCAUACACUAUCAUAUCGCCGAAAAUGCAAGAUAACAUUGAUGCAGCUAUCUUGUUGUUAAACUACUGAAAAUACAUAUGCACAUUGUUGCCUGUAUGUUACUAUAAUGUCGGUAUAUUCGAAAUCGUUGAAGACAAAUCUAUGGCAAGUUGUCAGCAUCAUAAGCAAUCACAGAUUUGUACGAUUUUGCCGAGACACGCUUUACUGGAUAAUUAUGCGCAAUUAAAUAAACUUAAGAUAUGGCAACGUUUUAUUCUGCACCUGUGCUGUCUUGUAUUUUCUCUCCUUUGCUCCAAUACUCCUCUGUAUCUGCGACGUCUUCUUCAGUUGAACUCUGAACAUCAUUCUUCUUUUAACCCCCUUGUCACCAGAUACUAAGAUUACUUAUCUUUCCCCAUAUAUUGUUCCAUUAAGUUCCGUGCCGCUUUCUUCUACACCUCUGUCAAAUAUUUUAAUGCUCUUCCUAAUUCAAUAAAAACCUCUCCCUUUCGUUCCGCUGCCUCUCGUUUCAUCGCGUCACAAUAAGCGAGACUGACGAAAUUUGUGUGUUUGUGGGUAUAUGCGCGUGUGUAUGAUUUCAGUUAUUGGUUCACCUCUCAUUACAUUGUUGUCUUAUUUCAGGUUUUGUUGCAGGCUUUGUAAUAGCAAUUUUGCCGAUACCAUUUACAAGCUAUUAUUAUUUAUUGCAAUAUUAUAUUUUAUUUUAUGUCUACUAUAGUCUAUUGUAUUUUAUGUCUAUUACUCUGUUAACAUAUAGUCUUUCUCAUAAAGUUUCGCAAUAAACUAAAUUAAAUUAAAUUAAAUUAAAAUUACAAUUCGCGACGGCAACGGGGAUGGAUCGUUAAAGGUUCGAUAUCCGCAGGAAACAAUGAUAUUUCUUUAUUAAUGUCAGAUCGACACUCGUACUAAAUCUCGUUAAAUCUUGACUCUACGAGCGAUUACCUUAAAAGGCGACUAUUGUACGACAAUCAAAUGCAAACUAAAUCUGUCAACGAUAUACAAGAGCUUGUAUUCUUACAAAAAUAUAUUACUCAAAUGGAUAACUUCGCCAUGAAGAUUCGGGACCGCAGAUCGGAUUGGCAGGAUAUUAAACAAACACAAUAUCAUUUCAAACCACUCAAAAAGAUAGGACAAAUCUUAAAGAAAUCCUAAAGAUUAAAGAUCUCCAUCGAUCAGCUCCGCAGGAGUAUACAAAAUACCUUGUUCCUGCGGAUAAUACAUUGGAGAAACCGGGAGAAUGGUCAACCUACGGAUAAAAGAACACCAACGUGAUGUCAAGCUAAUACAGGGUCCGGCAAAAUGAUCUCCCACAUUUUUAAAUUAUUAAAGAUUAAAAUGUGGGAGAUCAUUUUGCCGGACAUGUCACGCUGUCAGCAUUAUCAGAACACAACAUUGAAACAGGAUAUCAAAUAUUGUUUGACAAAGCGACCACGAUGGCCAAUGUUACAUCAUACUUUCCAAGAAAGUAUAGAGAAGCUAUAGAGAUACAAUAACACCCUAAUAAUCUAAAUAGAGAUAAUGACUAUUACAUAAAUAAAAUAUGGAAAACCA
Long non-coding RNA from Acromyrmex echinatior (Panamanian leafcutter ant), 1551 nucleotides. RefSeq lists it as uncharacterized. NCBI's taxonomy places the organism in Eukaryota, Metazoa, Arthropoda, Insecta, Hymenoptera, Formicidae. The record is from RefSeq and is a predicted model, not a curated record.